Molecule: long non-coding RNA, 465 nt
Organism: Cercocebus atys (sooty mangabey)
Lineage: Eukaryota; Metazoa; Chordata; Mammalia; Primates; Cercopithecidae
Exons: 4
Source: RefSeq, a predicted model, not a curated record
AAAAUAUUGAAAUAUUCAAAGACCCUCCAUGCUUCAAAGCUUUGAAGAGGUCAACAGACCAUGUACACGACUGUGUCCUGUGUCUUUGCCAAUCUCAGAAUUAGAAGCCAAAGGAAGGAAGGUUCCAUCCAAUACGUUACUGCACUAACUCUUGGCCACAAAGACUGGGUCAUUUAAUAAUGCUGUUAUGGAGGCCGGAAGCAUUAGACAGGAUGGUGGAGCAGUGGUUGGCUAAGGUAUCCUCUACAUAAGUGUUCUGACCUGUUUUGAGUGCUGAAAGAGAUGUCAAGGGUCUGCAUUAAGCACUAAACCAAUGCCAUGCACUUUAUCUGCAAAUCAGAAGAUUCCAUGGAAACGAAAGAGGACUGGAUAAAGUCACAGCAAUAUUUCUGUGUUUAAGAGGUGGAGUAUGAAGGUAGAGCAGCUAAUGUAUCUCUGAAAUGAGUUUCUGGAUAUGUCUUGGUG